GUCUACGGCCAUACCACCCUGAACGCGCCUGAUCUCGUCUGAUCUCGGAAGCUAAGCAGGGUCGGGCCUGGUUAGUACUUGGAUGGGAAAAUUAACAUUCUUAAUUUUAAAAAAAGUAAUGUGGCGUUCAAGCCC
This 135-nucleotide ribosomal RNA is filed under the name Sorex araneus (European shrew). The record is from RNAcentral. Lineage: Eukaryota; Metazoa; Chordata; Mammalia; Eulipotyphla; Soricidae.